Long non-coding RNA from Oncorhynchus nerka (sockeye salmon), 2315 nucleotides. RefSeq lists it as uncharacterized. The transcript has 2 exons. Lineage: Eukaryota; Metazoa; Chordata; Actinopteri; Salmoniformes; Salmonidae. The record is from RefSeq and is a predicted model, not a curated record.
UCUUCAUUAACGGCUGCAGUUGCAUCAUUGUUUCCUUUAUUUGUUAUCUCUGUAAAGCCAAUGAUUCAGUAACAGGCUAUAUUUUGGUGUUUUCUUCCUUACAAAUAUGUGGUCUUUAAUAGUGAUGGAUUAAGUAGGCCGUAUGUAAAGUAUUUUUAUAAAUAUUAGCGUUUAUUUGUGGUUUUCUAUUGCAAAUGAUCCUAUCUCAAGGUCGUGCUUUGCAUCCGGUUUGUGUUGGACAUCGGUUUCUAAAUAACCAGACAAGGUCCUACCUUCAUACAAAGCUGAAGGCAGCAGAGUCAGAACCUGACGACUACAGGGAGCCAGCUCAGAUCUGGGUCAUGCUGCCACCAGCACAAACCAGGAACAUACUGGAGCUUUUACACAUCUUCAUCUCCACCAAGGCUCCCAUGGAGGCAUAGAGAAACCUGAAGCCAAGAGGCACGGAGCUGCAUCCUAGCACCUGUCAUUCACACCCACAUUGGUUCAUGUUCAUGUUCUGUUUUCAACCUCUCUCUCAUAUUCUCUCCUCUCAUCAUGCCUCUCUAUAUCUGCCAUUAGCUGUUACUCUACCAUAUAAUAUGCACAUGUACUGUAUACCUUACUUACCAUAUAGUAGACAGCGUGUGCUGUUCACACUGCAGAGUUUCUGUGUGUAUCUCAGGCAGCCACUGCAGUGACAAGGGCACUGGAUCAACCUUUGACAAUAACAAAGUCAUUUCCAAAUACAAUACAAUGCAAUAGUGGGAAAAAAACUACACGUAUCCAUUAAAACAAUACACUUGAAUUCUCAUCACUAACAUUCAGCGACAAUUAAUUUGAUCAUUGUCGGGUUAUAGAAUAGUCAUGCCAAGGGUUCUUCUACAACAUUCAAAAUACAUGUUUAUUUGGAUUAGGCCUAGAGAAGAAUAGAGUGGUGAGAUAGAUGUGGUUGAUUUAGAUAAUGUCUCCAUUCUUAUUUUUGGGGAAUUGUUUGGACCAGAGCCUGCAUUACAGUUAUUGAUGAGGAGAUUCAGAUAGGCAGGCUGGAGGACACAAGGCUUUUGUUUUGAGUAGAGUAGAGGUGCAAUCAGCAUGCAGUUAGUGAAGAAAGGUGAAGCUACAAUAAAUAAGUAUAGAUGGAUAUUUUAAACAUAUAUUGAGAUUGAUUAGAAUAUGAAGUGUUCAAAUCAAGUGAGUUGAUAGUAGUUGUUCAUUUCCAUCAUCAACAACUAGCCUACUCUCAGUAUUAAAAUACCUGAGUAGGAAUUUAGAUAUCGGCCUACACUUGGGUAAUGUAAAGCUCACAAUAGACAUCAAGAGGAUGCGGUUUUGGUUAAGGGCGAGAUUAUCAGAAUAGCGACUGGUGGGCCAUAAGUCACUGGGUUGACCAGUGGAAAUUCUAAAUUGUCUGGUGACACACUUGAAUGGAGAGAUCUGUCCGGUCGUGGGAAAAGCUCGCUUGGACGUUUCACAAAUCCAGCGUAUAGCCUCCUCCUACUGAAUCAAACCAAUUAGCCAGGAGCGCGCUCCAACCAUUGAGAGACACUGUAGGCUCUGAGAGGAGUUGUUGGUUGAAUGAAAAUGCAUCCCCGGAUUUGGUUCUCCAAGAGAAGCUAUAGAAGUUGCCUUUUGAAGGACGGCUAUAGCACCGUGAAGGGCCAGGCAGAAAGUCCAAAUUGAGACACUUGAAUCAUUUAGGCGAUUAGGUGUGCACACAAUGCGUAAAAGUAUUGUGUGACUCACAUGGGAGGUAUAAUGCAUUUAAAAUCUACAAAAACCAUGAAUAUCUUAAGUGUUCUUCCUUUCUAGGUAACACAACUCAAUGUGAGAACACAACUACAUGUUUUUAUUCCUGAAAUUAUGCGUUUAUGUAAUGACAUGGAUCUCUUGACUUAAUAUCGACUGAAAGAUAUCAUUAGCCUACGCUUAUUCAGAAUAUCAGUGCAAGGGGUAGGCAAAGCCUACAUAGCUCAUCUAAAUCAGGACAGCCUUUUUCAUAGGCGUUGGACUACAGUAGGCCUAAAUACGUCAUAAGGGCUAAUAGCGGCCAUUUUCUGGAAAAUUGAAACCUUUCCACCUUUUUAAGAAUGACAUCAAUAUGAGCUACAAAUCUUAAUCCAUUUCAUUAAACCUUAAUUCAAUAUGUGUUUGCGUGUGUGUAAACCUGAUUUAUGCAGUGAGAACUAUAAGGAAUACAGCCUCAACUGUGGAUACUUUGAUGCAACAAAGCUUUAUUCAUAUUCAGGCAUGAAUACCAAUUGUUACAGUUCACUCAUAUGACUGGAUAAAGUUAUGUAAUUCCUCUGAACGGAAUAAAGGCUUUUUCUGAAGUA